CAGCAGCCGCGGGAAUACGGAGGGUGCAAGCGUUAAUCGGAAUUACUGGGCGUAAAGCGUGCGUAGGCGGUUCGUUAAGUCUGUUGUGAAAGCCCCGGGCUCAACCUGGGAAUGGCAAUGGAUACUGGCGAGCUAGAGUGUGGUAGAGGAUAGUGGAAUUUCCGGUGUAGCAGUGAAAUGCGUAGAGAUCGGAAGGAACAUCUGUGGCGAAGGCGACUAUCUGGGCCAACGCUGACACUGAGGCACGAAAGCGUGGGGAGCAAACAGGAUUAGAUACCCCCGAGUCCCUGUCUCUUAUACA
Molecule: ribosomal RNA, 301 nt
Filed under: uncultured bacterium
Lineage: Bacteria
Description: partial 16S ribosomal RNA
Rfam family: Bacterial small subunit ribosomal RNA
Source: RNAcentral